This is a long non-coding RNA of Amphiprion ocellaris (clown anemonefish), 780 nucleotides long. The record is from Ensembl. NCBI's taxonomy places the organism in Eukaryota, Metazoa, Chordata, Actinopteri, Pomacentridae.
GUAAAGCGAACCUUCCUCACCUGAUGGAUUCUGUAGUAAAACGGACUGUUUAGCUAUCUUAAUUGGCAGCUGGUGGCCAAACAGUGUUAGUCAGUGUCGGAAAGUAAAGAACUAUCACGCAGCUCAGUCAAACCAAAGUCGUUUUAAAUGUAUCCGGUCUUCAGAAGAAUCAACGUGAAAGGAAAGACAAAACAUUUGUAGCUGGACACAACAAUCACGACGACGCUAGCCUACUGCUAGCUAACAGCUAACUGCGCAACCAGGAAUGUGUUGGAACAGGUGUUGCAAACUUCGGUGUAGAGAAACAAAUGUUAACUGGACAAGAGAGAAACAAACUUACCAUGAACUCCAGAGAUGUUAGUGAAGUAUCCGAAGUGUUGUUGUUCGUGGUAAUGUUCGUAAGAUGAACCUGGACCGGCUGAAACAGAAGAGUGCCGCACUUUUUUCCUCUUGGCUGUGCUGAGACGUGAGGAGUUUUACCAAACAGUUUCACACUUUUCUUUCUGUUCUGCUGGGCCCCACUCCAGAUCAGAUCUUUUGCCACUGACUUUGAUUUCUUAAGCCCUGUGAUAGACUGGUGACCUGUCCAGGGUGUCCCCUGCUUUCGCCCCAAGUCAGCUGGGAUACAUUCCAGCCCUCCGUGACCCUAAUGAGGAUUGAGCGGUGUAUAGAUAAUGGAUUGAUAGAUUAUUUCCAUCCACUCAUGUAUAAAUUGGGCCUUACUUGAAGUAUGCACAAGCGCAUACAGAAAAUGUAAUCGAGGCUGAAAUCAGAAUAAAG